GGGUCUGUAGCUCAGUGGUUAGUAGCAGCGAACUAAUAAUUCGUUGGUCGUGAGUUCAAAUCCCACCGACCCACCA
This 76-nucleotide transfer RNA is filed under the name Candidatus Riesia sp. RNAcentral describes it as "tRNA-Ile". It matches the Rfam family "tRNA". Rfam says of the family: Transfer RNA (tRNA) molecules are approximately 80 nucleotides in length. Their secondary structure includes four short double-helical elements and three loops (D, anti-codon, and T loops). The record is from RNAcentral. Lineage: Bacteria; Pseudomonadati; Pseudomonadota; Gammaproteobacteria; Enterobacterales; Enterobacteriaceae.